Molecule: small nuclear RNA, 138 nt
Filed under: Nematostella vectensis (starlet sea anemone)
Lineage: Eukaryota; Metazoa; Cnidaria; Anthozoa; Actiniaria; Edwardsiidae
Description: U4 spliceosomal RNA
Rfam family: U4 spliceosomal RNA
About the family: U4 small nuclear RNA (U4 snRNA) is a component of the major U2-dependent spliceosome. The structure of U4 snRNA from yeast and human has been reported.
Source: Rfam by way of RNAcentral
AGCUUUGCGCAGUGGCAUUACCUUAGCUGAUGAGGUCCAUCCGAGGCGCGGUUAUUGCUGAUUGAAAACUUUUCCCAAUACCCCGCAGACCACCUGAAGCAUAGUCGGCUUUGCAAUUUUUGUGGGCCCUACUUAGGG